This 534-nucleotide ribosomal RNA is filed under the name uncultured fungus. RNAcentral's name for it is "eukaryotic LSU rRNA". The stretch from base 176 to 329 matches the Rfam family "5.8S ribosomal RNA". The record is from RNAcentral. Lineage: Eukaryota; Fungi.
UUUCCGUAGGUGAACCUGCGGAAGGAUCAUUACCUAGAGUUUGUAGACUUCGGUCUGCUACCUCUUACCCAUGUCUUUUGAGUACCUUCGUUUCCUCGGCGGGUCCGCCCGCCGAUUGGACAACAUUCAAACCCUUUGCAGUUGCAAUCAGCGUCUGAAAAAACAUAAUAGUUACAACUUUCAACAACGGAUCUCUUGGUUCUGGCAUCGAUGAAGAACGCAGCGAAAUGCGAUAAGUAGUGUGAACUGCAGAAUUCAGUGAAUCAUCGAAUCUUUGAACGCACAUUGCGCCCCUUGGUAUUCCAUGGGGCAUGCCUGUUCGAGCGUCAUUUGUACCUUCAAGCUCUGCUUGGUGUUGGGUGUUUGUCUCGCCUCUGCGUGUAGACUCGCCUUAAAACAAUUGGCAGCCGGCGUAUUGAUUUCGGAGCGCAGUACAUCUCGCGCUUUGCACUCAUAACGACGACGUCCAAAAGUACAUUUUUACACUCUUGACCUCGGAUCAGGUAGGGAUACCCGCUGAACUUAAGCAUAUCA